RNAcentral lists this ribosomal RNA (468 nucleotides) under uncultured bacterium. Its description in RNAcentral is "partial 16S ribosomal RNA". It matches the Rfam family "Bacterial small subunit ribosomal RNA", at positions 28 to 507 of the family's 1533-position model. The record is from RNAcentral.
GACGAACGCUGGCGGCGUGCUUAACACAUGCAAGUCGAACGGAAAGGCCCUGCUUUUGUGGGGUGCUCGGGUGGCGAACGGGUGAGUAACACGUGAGUAACCUGCCCUUGACUUUGGGAUAACUUCAGGAAACUGGGGCUAAUACCGGAUAGGAGCUCCUGCUGCAUGGUGGGGGUUGGAAAGUUUCGGCGGUUGGGGAUGGACUCGCGGCUUAUCAGCUUGUUGGUGGGGUAGUGGCUUACCAAGGCUUUGACGGGUAGCCGGCCUGAGAGGGUGACCGGCCACAUUGGGACUGAGAUACGGCCCAGACUCCUACGGGAGGCAGAAGUGGGGAAUAUUGCACAAUGGGCGGAAGCCUGAUGCAGCAACGCCGCGUGCGGGAUGACGGCCUUCGGGUUGUAAACCGCUUUCGCCUGUGACGAAGCGUGAGUGACGGUAAUGGGUAAAGAAGCACCGGCUAACUACGUG